This 300-nucleotide long non-coding RNA is filed under the name Elaeis guineensis (African oil palm). RNAcentral's name for it is "long non-coding RNA (EGUI_LNC009137)". Lineage: Eukaryota; Viridiplantae; Streptophyta; Magnoliopsida; Arecales; Arecaceae. The record is from RNAcentral.
UAUGGUCAAAAAAAUACCUAUAAAAGUUGCAGCAAGUACCUCCCAACAUCUUUAAUUAUCAUAAAAGGUGGCGAAAAACAUCUUCAUUUCAUUUCAUGGCAAAUUUAAAUGUAGGAAUUACAAGUAGAACUAGGGCAAAUUCUCUAGUACUAGAAGAGAAAGGUUAUAGGCACUUUGCAUAGUCAAAGAGAGAAGCAAAGCCAUUUAGAUUAGUUUCAUGAUCCCUAAACAUUGUUGGCUCCAACCCAUCUCCUUCCUCUCCUUUCUUAUCCCUACCUUCUCAUCCAUCCCAUCCUCGCC